UGAGGAACAUGACUUUCGGCGGGGGAUAGCCGGCCCAACGGCCGGGUAAUACCGCGUACGACCUUUUGGGGACAUCCCCGAUUGGUGAAAGCAGCAAUGCGCCGAAAGAGUGCCUCGCGGCCUAUCAGCUAGUUGGUGGGGUAAUGGCUCACCAAGGCAACGAUGCGUAGCCGACUGAGAGGGUGAUCGGCCACAUUGGAACUGAGACACGGUCCAGACUCCGUACGGGAGCAGC
RNAcentral lists this ribosomal RNA (235 nucleotides) under uncultured bacterium. RNAcentral's name for it is "partial 16S ribosomal RNA". It matches the Rfam family "Bacterial small subunit ribosomal RNA", at positions 118 to 347 of the family's 1533-position model. The record is from RNAcentral.